This 64-nucleotide transfer RNA is filed under the name Polyplax reclinata. Its description in RNAcentral is "tRNA-Gln". The record is from RNAcentral. Lineage: Eukaryota; Metazoa; Arthropoda; Insecta; Psocodea; Polyplacidae.
UGAAGUGGAGUUUUAAACUUUAGUUUUUGAUACUAACAAAGGCAAUUAAAUUUGCCCAUUUCAC